UAAAUUAGAGGUAGACGUAAAGCACGUUUUUAUAAUUUUGCCGACGAACACUGUUCAGACUAUCGGCAGACCUGAUUUCUUACCUCGAAAAGAAGGUUGUCGGCAGAGGAAAGGAGCGGUGUGAGGUUCCAGUGUUUUUUUUUACAAACAAUUUCUGGCUUGAAGAAAAGUGCUGGUCGGAAAUAACUUCUUCUCCCGAAUAUUAGGUGAGCAAAGUAGGAUUGUGAUAGCCAUAGCUUCAUGACCGAUCUAACUCGCUUUGAUAAUUAAAGAAGGGUUCAGCCCCCAAGCUCUUGCGUUUGAGUGGUAAAGCAGCAGAACCUCGAGGGCGUAAAAAUACCGAGCGACUUUGGUGAAAAGUCUGCAACCUGAAGUUUGGUGUGAAUUCUGGAUUUUAGCAUUCUGUAAAGAUUGGAAAUUGGAUUCCAUUUUAUAGGGGUUAAUAUUCGACAGGACAUAUUGCAGUAACUGAUUUAGUAUCAAAGCACCAAUUUUGCAGAGAGCUCAGCGCGUUAUGAGAAACCGUUUCCUAUCCACUCCGGGGUUUGGACUCGUGCGAAGACUGUGAAAACAGUUCCGCAGAGAAUAAGUGAUCAUCAGUGAAACACUGUAUAAACAUGGCCCCUGGUGGGAAUUGAUUCAUUUAAUCAUAUUACAUUCCUCGUGGAAUCUGGUCCGAUUAUAGCUCUGAAAAGUGCCGAUUGGUGGGCAAAAGUCUCUUGGGACUGAACGUGAAAGUUAAAAGGACAAUCGAAAUCUCAGGUGCUGGACUGCACUGAGUAAGCUGCGUUAACCCCAUAAAUAGUGCCUCAUUUGCGUCGUCUGCUUUGAUGACCAUAAGGGAAAGGCUUGCGAGGAAAGAUCAGACAAGAAAAUAAAUCGGUUCCGUUUCUUUAUCAGUCCGAUCCAGCGUUAUCAUCUGGAAUCCCUCUAUCCCUGACAGCACACAGCGACUAAUUGUAACACAAUCUACCUGUCAUUCCCAAACCCCUCUGCUGGACUUGCCAGGAAGCCGGGACCGCGCAUGUGACACUUUUUUUUGCCUUAUUUCCCAGGAGUAGAAAUAACCAGAGGGAGAGAGGGGAGGGGGGAAAAGUCUCACGGACUGCAUUGCAUUUUGCCGGCAAUUUUAACUCCAUGGUGUCACUGAGCUCCAUUUGAAACCUCGCUACUGAUUGCAUCCUAUACACCCCCUGAUUUGUCACCCAACCCGCCUGCACACCAAAGCAUCCUCUUUGGUUUCGCUGCCGUGCUUCCUAGACUCGUGUCACGCCAGCGGGUGAAGGUGGAAAAAGGAGGCGUGCGUGCACGUGACUGACUGCAGGAGGGACUGAGGGAGGGUUGGGGCAGCCGUGCGGGCUGGUUAGAGGGCGACAGGGGAGGCUGCAACAGGUGCUGUUCAAAGCGGUGCUGCUGCUGAUCAUCGAGGAGGCGGCUAGCGGCGCGCGGGCUGCCAUCUGGAACCCGGACCCGGGAGGCACGCGCUCGCUCACGUGACUGCGGCUCGGACACCAACGGCCGUUGCUCGCUCUCGCGCUGAGCCCCAUCCGUCAUCCCACCCUCUCUCUCUCCAUACAUCCAUCCAUCUAUCUCCUGCUGACGAUGGCAGGCUGUGGACUAAAUGAAGACCUCCUCUUCUCCUCGUUUGUCUUCAGCUACAUCAAGGAGAAUCCGUUCACUCAGCAGGUUCUUGGUUUGCAUCUCGAGUAUUGAAAGACUUUGCUAGUAAACAUGUAUUCUAAGAUGCACAAGCGCAAAAAUAAAAAAUUUUUUCUGCCUUUU
Molecule: long non-coding RNA, 1782 nt
Organism: Rhincodon typus (whale shark)
Lineage: Eukaryota; Metazoa; Chordata; Chondrichthyes; Orectolobiformes; Rhincodontidae
Exons: 2
Source: RefSeq, a predicted model, not a curated record